CCUACGGGUGGCAGCAGUGGGGAAUAUUGGACAAUGGGGGAACCCUGAUCCAGCCAUGCCGCGUGUGUGAAGAAGGCCCUCGGGUUGUAAAGCACUUUCAGUGAGGAAGAACGCCUGGUGGUUAAUACCCAUCAGGAAAGACAUCACUCACAGAAGAAGCACCGGCUAACUCCGUGCCAGCAGCCGCGGUAAUACGGAGGGUGCGAGCGUUAAUCGGAAUUACUGGGCGUAAAGCGCGCGUAGGUGGCUUGAUAAGCCGGUUGUGAAAGCCCCGGGCUCAACCUGGGAACGGCAUCCGGAACUGUCAAGCUAGAGUGCAGGAGAGGAAGGUAGAAUUCCCGGUGUAGCGGUGAAAUGCGUAGAGAUCGGGAGGAAUACCAGUGGCGAAGGCGGCCUUCUGGACUGACACUGACACUGAGGUGCGAAAGCGUGGGUAGCAAACAGGAUUAGAUACCCGAGUAGUC
This 464-nucleotide ribosomal RNA is filed under the name Vreelandella stevensii. RNAcentral describes it as "partial 16S ribosomal RNA". It matches the Rfam family "Bacterial small subunit ribosomal RNA", at positions 338 to 795 of the family's 1533-position model. Lineage: Bacteria; Pseudomonadati; Pseudomonadota; Gammaproteobacteria; Oceanospirillales; Halomonadaceae. The record is from RNAcentral.